Molecule: non-coding RNA, 727 nt
Organism: Pelobates cultripes (western spadefoot toad)
Lineage: Eukaryota; Metazoa; Chordata; Amphibia; Anura; Pelobatidae
Source: the annotation of a GenBank genome assembly
CACGUGUGGAACCGCUAUUUAUGGCAUUCAACUGCACCUGUACCUUAUUUUAGGCUCCUGUUGACAAACCUGUGGCUUCCCGGAGCCAUCCUGCUGCUCGCUACCACAUUCAUAAGCAUCUCCCACGUGUUUUCCGAGAGGCGCUGCACAGGAGACGGCGCAAGAAGCCACAGUGGUGGAUGGCUCUACUUCAUCCAAUGCCGUGUUCCCACUACCACUCACCUCACCAGCAAGGGGAUAAGCUCCCUUGCCUCCAACACGACCAGCCUGAACGGAAGGUCUUUACCUUAUGCUGCCGGGAGCGCAAGACCACAGUUUUGCAACCGCGAUUGUAACGGACUUUCGGAGGACUUGGGCUGCAAGUAGGGGCAUUGGUUAGGUGGCAUAUCAGUGUCUUUCACAGCUGGGAUGUUAAAACGCUGUUAUCAUGCCUGCUAUCUUUCAGUUGUUUCCUUCUACUACUGUGAUCUAUUCACUCACAAUACGUUUCCAGUGGAAUCUAUUUCUUGCAGUUAUCUACUUUACAGCGUGUUUAAGUAUAUUUUGUAUGAUACAUCUCAUUGCCUAACUUGUCUAGAACGCUCUUUGUUUCCCACCACACAGGACAGCCAUGUUCUUGGGAUUUGUGUCUCAGUGUUAUGUUUUGUUUGUAAUUUAUAUUUUUCUCAUGAUAUUGAUCAGAACACAUCUGGAUACACACUGAGAAUAUAUUAAUUUCAGCCUAUAA